This 253-nucleotide ribosomal RNA is filed under the name uncultured bacterium. RNAcentral's name for it is "partial 16S ribosomal RNA". It matches the Rfam family "Bacterial small subunit ribosomal RNA", at positions 524 to 776 of the family's 1533-position model. The record is from RNAcentral.
UACGUAGGGUGCGAGCGUUGUCCGGAAUUAUUGGGCGUAAAGAGCUCGUAGGCGGUUUGUUGCGUCUAUCGUGAAAACCUGCAGCUUAACUGUGGGCUUGCGGUGGAUACGGGCAGACUUGAGUUCGGUAGGGGAGACUGGAAUUCCUGGUGUAGCGGUGAAAUGCGCAGAUAUCAGGAGGAACACCGAUGGCGAAGGCAGGUCUCUGGGCCAUAACUGACGCUGAGAAGCGAAAGCAUGGGGAGCGAACAGG